ACCUGCCGCGGGUGCCGUGAACGGCGUCCGCGGCGGCAGACAGAAACCGUGCUCUGGGAAGAUUUGGGCACAUAAGGGCGUU
RNAcentral lists this small RNA (82 nucleotides) under Streptomyces somaliensis DSM 40738. Its description in RNAcentral is "nrdJ RNA". It matches the Rfam family "nrdJ RNA". The record is from Rfam by way of RNAcentral. Lineage: Bacteria; Bacillati; Actinomycetota; Actinomycetes; Kitasatosporales; Streptomycetaceae.